ACGCUCGACACCUACAGGAGGCAGCAGUGGGGAAUAUUGCACAAUGGGGGAAACCCUGAUGCAGCGACGCCGCGUGGAGGAAGAAGGUCUUCGGAUUGUAAACUCCUGUUGUUGGGGAAAAAGAGGAUGGUACCCAACAAGGAAGUGACGGCUAACUACGUGCCAGCAGCCGCGGUAAUCUGAGCGGGCUGGCAAGGC
Molecule: ribosomal RNA, 198 nt
Filed under: uncultured bacterium
Lineage: Bacteria
Description: partial 16S ribosomal RNA
Rfam family: Bacterial small subunit ribosomal RNA
Source: RNAcentral